This 254-nucleotide ribosomal RNA is filed under the name uncultured bacterium. RNAcentral describes it as "partial 16S ribosomal RNA". It matches the Rfam family "Bacterial small subunit ribosomal RNA", at positions 524 to 776 of the family's 1533-position model. The record is from RNAcentral.
UACGUAGGGGGCAAGCGUUGUCCGGAUUUAUUGGGCGUAAAGAGCGUGUAGGCGGCCUGAAAGGUCAGCUGUGAAAACUCGAGGCUCAACCUCGAGACGUCGGUUGAAACCAUCUGGCUAGAGUCCGGAAGAGGAGUGUGGAAUUCCCGGUGUAGCGGGUGAAAUGCGCAGAUAUCGGGAAGAACACCCGUGGCGAAGGCGGCACUCUGGGACGGUACUGACGCUGAGACGCGAAAGCGUGGGGAGCGAACAGG